GUUUUGCUUUCACACCAGGAUGUGGUUAAUCAUUCCCCGGCAGCAGCACACCGUGUACCGGACGCAGCACAUCGCGCCGCUCGCACCGAGUCCUGGUGCUCCGCAACCUCAUCUGGGGCCAUGCUGUGGGAUUUGCACUCUGCCCCUUUUUUAUCAGCCUCGGUUUCAGCACCGGGACUGCAUCGGUGCCAACCUCCUCCUCCCGCAUCGCCGCUCCUUACCUUGAUGUUGCAGAAGAUACCACGGGAACAGGUGCUGGAGCUUCUGGGGAUAUCCACUGGGGACUUGGCGGCUUCGGGAUGGACCCCCAUGGUGCACCCCAGCAGAUGGGCUGUGUGAGGGCUCCGGCCCCGUCCUGCUCCGAAAACGCUCAUAGAUUUCAAGAUUAAAGAAACAC
Molecule: long non-coding RNA, 397 nt
Filed under: Gallus gallus (chicken)
Lineage: Eukaryota; Metazoa; Chordata; Aves; Galliformes; Phasianidae
Source: RNAcentral